Molecule: ribosomal RNA, 579 nt
Filed under: uncultured bacterium
Lineage: Bacteria
Description: bacterial SSU rRNA
Rfam family: Bacterial small subunit ribosomal RNA
Source: RNAcentral
CCUACGGGAGGCAGCAGUGGGGAAUCUUGCGCAAUGGCCGAGAGGCUGGCGCAGCGACGCCGCGUGGGGGAUGAAGCAUUUCGGUGUGUAAACCCCUGUUGCUCGGGACGAACGAUCCUUUUCGAGGGAUGUGACGGUACCGAGUGAGGAAGCACCGGCUAACUCCGUGCCAGCAGCCGCGGUAAUACGGAGGGUGCGAGCGUUGUCCGGAAUCACUGGGCGUAAAGGGCGCGUAGGUGGUUAGAUGCGCCGGUGGUGAAAGCGCAGGGCUCAACCCUGCGUCGGCCAUCGGGACGGUCUGACUGGAGCACUGUAGAGGCAGGUGGAAUUCCGGGUGUAGCGGUGGAAUGCGUAGAGAUCCGGAAGAACACCGGUGGCGAAGGCGGCCUGCUGGGCAGUUGCUGACACUGAGGCGCGACAGCGUGGGGAGCAAACAGGAUUAGAUACCCUGGUAGUCCACGCCGUAAACGAUGGGCACUAGGUGCUUGGGGGAGCGACCCCCUGAGUGCCGACGCUAACGCAUUAAGUGCCCCGCCUGGGGAGUACGACCGCAAGGUUGAAACUCAAAGGAAUUGACGG